RNAcentral lists this ribosomal RNA (255 nucleotides) under uncultured Gardnerella sp. Its description in RNAcentral is "partial 16S ribosomal RNA". It matches the Rfam family "Bacterial small subunit ribosomal RNA", at positions 99 to 354 of the family's 1533-position model. Lineage: Bacteria; Bacillati; Actinomycetota; Actinomycetes; Bifidobacteriales; Bifidobacteriaceae. The record is from RNAcentral.
CGAACGGGUGAGUAAUGCGUGACCAACCUGCCCCAUGCUCCAGAAUAGCUCUUGGAAACGGGUGGUAAUGCUGGAUGCUCCAACUUGACGCAUGUCUUGUUGGAAGUGUUUAGUGGCAUGGGAUGGGGUCGCGUCCUAUCAGCUUGUAGGGCGGGGUAAUGGCCCACCUAGGCUUCGACGGGUAACCGGCCUGAGAGGGCGGACGGCCACAUUGGGACUGAGAUACGGCCCAGACUCCUACGGGAGGCAGCAGAA